CUGCUGGCGGAAUGCUCGAGCUGCUCGCGCGGCGAGAGCGGGCCGCCGCGUGCCGGCCGGGGGACGGACCGGGAACGGCCCCCUCGGGGGCCUUCCCCGGGCGUCGAACAACCGACUCAGAACUGAAUCCAAGCUAGCAACCGGCGCCUCUGCUCGCCGCCCGCCCCGACCCACGUAGGGGCGUUCGCGCCCCAAGGGCCCGUGCCAUUGGCUCAGCCGCCCCGGGCCGACGCGCCGCGGCGGGCCGCCUCGAAGCUCCCUUCCCACACGGCGGCGUGCUGA
This 282-nucleotide unclassified non-coding RNA is filed under the name Zea mays. RNAcentral's name for it is "misc RNA Zm00001eb262110". Lineage: Eukaryota; Viridiplantae; Streptophyta; Magnoliopsida; Poales; Poaceae. The record is from RNAcentral.